AUGCACAGAUGUGUGCAUCCUAGUGUGUGCACAGGCGUGUGCAUCCCCGUGCAAGCACAGGCAUGCGCAUCCUGGCAUGUGCGCAGGCGUGUGCAUCUUGGUGUGUGCACAGACAUGUGCAUCCUGAUGCAAGCACACGCGUGUGCAUCUUGGUGCAUGCAUAGACACAUGCAUCCUAGUGUGUGCACAGGCAUGUGCAUCCCUGUGCCGGCAUGGCAAGGGGCUGAGACAGAGUCCACAAGCAGCAGUGAUCGAUGCGGGGAGCAUGCUGCCGCCGUUAACCUCUGGGGUGCAGUUUCCCUGUUGCAGCGACCUCCCCAAGCCCAGGGUGGUCCCAGUCCCAGUCCCAGUCCCAGUCCUGGAGCUGGGGCUGCUCAUGGUCCCUUCCCGUGCCCUCUUCGUCCUCGCGGAUCGCCUCAGCUGUGCCGGAGCAACCUGUUGUCGCAGGAGCGGGAGGGCAGGAAGGGCUGGCGGGGACACGUGCACGGAGGGGCUGGGGAAGGCAGCAGGAGAGCGGAGAACCAGGCCACGCCGAGCCAGUCGGGUGCCCCAGCGGAGGGGCCGAGGGGUCCUGCGCCAUCCUCGCCACAGCACGCGCACCCUGUCCUCUUGGCGCCCGGGUUUGCCGGCGUGGUCCGUCCCCACCUGCGCCGCCUCCGAGCGGAGGCUUUGCGCCCUUCCGGGCGAGAGGAGAUCGCUGAAACAACAGCGACCGCGUUUCUCGUCUGCUUGAGGGGCAACGGAGCGUGGAAAGGGUUUGGGGGGGUGCGUCGGGGGCCGCCGGAGAGCUGGGGUGCGAGUGCUUCCUGUGGGAGCCCAUGCUGGCACCAGGCAGGCACGUCGGAGCGAGCGGGGUCCAGCUGGAGCAGGGCCCCCAUGCACACCCCCCUUCCCAUGCACACCCACAUCUCCAUGCACACCCUUGUCUCCAUGCACAUCCCUGUCUCCAUGCACACCCCUGUCUCCAUGCACACUUCCGUCUCCCCGCACACCCCCAUCUUCCCCGCACCCCCUCCCCAUGCACACCCCCGGCCCCCCGCACACCCCCGCGUGCGGAGGCUGCGCGCGAGCUGCAGCCUCGUCUCCCUAGGAAACCGAGCGGAGGCCAAAUUAGCGCUGGUGGGUGUCGGAGGGGGGCUGGAAACGUGGUCCGAAUUGCUCCGCACCCGGGAAGCUUUGCUGCAUCGCRCUGCGCCCGGAUGGCGCUCGCAACGAGCUCGAGCGGACCGGGGCCGCGCUGCAGGACCGUCCCUGCCCUCCGCGCUCGCACCUGCCUGGGCAUUUUGGGGGCUGCUCAAAGCUCGCCCGGAGCAUCCUGUCUUGGGCAGUGGGGAAUUCGGAUCAAUCCAGAGCUUGCAGGACUUUGCAGCCUGCAACGCUGCUGCUGGAAAAGGGUGCUGGGAGGACGCGUUUCCCCGGGAAGACCCAGUGGGUGAUGGGGGAAGCAUCAGGCACCGUUUUAGGGUCGACCCAGGGUGUCGCUCCCGGCUCCCUGCGGCCGCGGAGGCUCCUGCUACCCGCAGACCGUGCAAGGAGCGGGAAGGAAGCGGCCUCCCGCGGCUUUGCCGGAUCUUCCCGGCUCCUCGUCCUCGCCUUGCCUUGCCGUUCACACCUUCGCCCCGCUGGCUGCCCUCCUCCUCCUCCUCUUCCUCCUCCGUGGGCCUUUUGCAGGCUGCUAGGAGAAGAUGCAUUUGCCGGGCUGCGCGCUCCAAAAGUUGA
Molecule: long non-coding RNA, 1719 nt
Organism: Apteryx haastii (Great spotted kiwi)
Lineage: Eukaryota; Metazoa; Chordata; Aves; Apterygiformes; Apterygidae
Source: Ensembl